This 448-nucleotide long non-coding RNA is filed under the name Rattus norvegicus (Norway rat). Its description in RNAcentral is "long non-coding RNA NONRATT006444". Lineage: Eukaryota; Metazoa; Chordata; Mammalia; Rodentia; Muridae. The record is from RNAcentral.
UGCUGGAGCCAUCAAUGACAAAGAUUCUGGACUCCUUCGCAGCAGCACCAGUGCCUAUGUCAACAGCAGUGCUGAGGUCGCCUGAGCCCGUUGUAACAAUGUCAGUGGAGUAUCAGAAGUCUGUGCUGAAAUCUUUGGAGACUGUGCCUCCAGAGAUAUCAAAGACCACGCUGGUAGAGCUUCCCAUAGCAAAAGUGCUUGAGCCAUCAGAAACCCUCACAAUAGUAUCAGAGACACCUACUGAGGUGCACCCUGAACCAAGCCCAUCAACAAUGGAUUUUCCAGAGUCAUCUACAACUGACGUGCAAAGAUUGCCAGAGCAGCCUGUAGAAGCACCGCCGGAGAUCGCAGAUUCAUCUAUGACAAGACCUCAGGAGUCACUGGAGCUGCCUAAGACCACAGCGGUGGAGCUGCAGGAGUCGUCGGUGGCCUCAGCCCUGGAGUUGCC